GGAGGGGCCAUGGCUCAGUGGAAGAGCCUCUGCUUGGCAUUCUAGAAGGCCCCAGGUUCAAUCCCUGGCCUCUCCA
Molecule: transfer RNA, 76 nt
Filed under: Sphaerodactylus townsendi
Lineage: Eukaryota; Metazoa; Chordata; Lepidosauria; Squamata; Sphaerodactylidae
Description: tRNA-Ala
Rfam family: tRNA
About the family: Transfer RNA (tRNA) molecules are approximately 80 nucleotides in length.
Source: RNAcentral